UUUAUUCAGAAAAUGUUUGUGGCAUACCCUCUGCUAGUAGGCAGAAUUCUAAAAAUGGGUGCCAAGAUCUCCUGCUCCCUGUGUCCAUGUUUUAAAUAAUCCCCAGGACUGUAAACAUGAUAGAUUUUGCUCCUGUAAUUGGGCUAUAUUACUUGGCAAGUUGACCUUAAGAUCUGGAGAUUAUCCAGGACAGAACAACGUGUGAACUCUUCACAGAAAAUCUAAGUAUUGGUUCAUUAAAAAUGAGCAGAACAACAGCAACAAUACAAGCCAAUAACCAAAUGAAAACCCAUUCCCUUUUGCUUGAUAAAAAGUGCUGGCUAAAGAAAGAGGACUUGAGGAUUUUAAGAAAUGGGAGAUCUACCAGAGGGAAAAAACCUGGGCCCCUGAAUUGCACAUGGAGAAAAGUUGUCCACUGAGUAGGAACUCCCACAUUAGAUUCCUACUUGAGAAAGAAUUUUUUAUUGUUAGGCCACCACAAUUUGAGGAUUUAUUUGUUAAAGCAGCUAGCAUUAUCCUAAUAAACACUAUAUGUUAAAUGCUGAAGCUACCCGGGACGGGGACGAACCAUAAGCAGGCAAAAUUUAGAGCACAAUCAAAAUUAGGCCAUUUUAACAAAAACAAACACAUAGAUCAAUGGAACAGAAUAGGGAACUCAGAAAAGGGCCCUCAACUCUAUGGUCAACUAAUAUUCAGCAAAGCAGUAAAGCCUAUCCACUGGAAAAAGACAGUC
Molecule: long non-coding RNA, 733 nt
Organism: Canis lupus familiaris (dog)
Lineage: Eukaryota; Metazoa; Chordata; Mammalia; Carnivora; Canidae
Exons: 3
Source: RefSeq, a predicted model, not a curated record